This 77-nucleotide transfer RNA is filed under the name Meridianimarinicoccus roseus. RNAcentral describes it as "Rhodobacteraceae bacterium TG-679 tRNA-Pro". It matches the Rfam family "tRNA". Rfam says of the family: Transfer RNA (tRNA) molecules are approximately 80 nucleotides in length. Their secondary structure includes four short double-helical elements and three loops (D, anti-codon, and T loops). Further hydrogen bonds mediate the characteristic L-shaped molecular structure. tRNAs have two regions of fundamental functional importance: the anti-codon, which is responsible for specific mRNA codon recognition, and the 3' end, to which the tRNAs corresponding amino acid is attached (by aminoacyl-tRNA synthetases). tRNAs cope with the degeneracy of the genetic code in two manners: having more than one tRNA (with a specific anti-codon) for a particular amino acid; and 'wobble' base-pairing, i.e. permitting non-standard base-pairing at the 3rd anti-codon position. Lineage: Bacteria; Pseudomonadati; Pseudomonadota; Alphaproteobacteria; Rhodobacterales; Paracoccaceae. RNAcentral also lists the same sequence under 3 other names. The record is from RNAcentral.
CGGGCUAUAGCGCAGCUUGGUAGCGCGUCCGUCUGGGGGACGGAAGGUCGUGAGUUCGAAUCUCGCUAGCCCGACCA